This 74-nucleotide transfer RNA is filed under the name Salmo salar (Atlantic salmon). It matches the Rfam family "tRNA". Rfam says of the family: Transfer RNA (tRNA) molecules are approximately 80 nucleotides in length. Their secondary structure includes four short double-helical elements and three loops (D, anti-codon, and T loops). The record is from Rfam by way of RNAcentral. Lineage: Eukaryota; Metazoa; Chordata; Actinopteri; Salmoniformes; Salmonidae.
GGCCGGUUAGCUCACUUGGUUAGAGCGUGGUGAUAAUAGCGCCAAGGUUGUGGGUUCGAUCCCCAUACUGGCCA